Molecule: transfer RNA, 83 nt
Filed under: Nematostella vectensis (starlet sea anemone)
Lineage: Eukaryota; Metazoa; Cnidaria; Anthozoa; Actiniaria; Edwardsiidae
Rfam family: tRNA
About the family: Transfer RNA (tRNA) molecules are approximately 80 nucleotides in length. Their secondary structure includes four short double-helical elements and three loops (D, anti-codon, and T loops). Further hydrogen bonds mediate the characteristic L-shaped molecular structure. tRNAs have two regions of fundamental functional importance: the anti-codon, which is responsible for specific mRNA codon recognition, and the 3' end, to which the tRNAs corresponding amino acid is attached (by aminoacyl-tRNA synthetases). tRNAs cope with the degeneracy of the genetic code in two manners: having more than one tRNA (with a specific anti-codon) for a particular amino acid; and 'wobble' base-pairing, i.e. permitting non-standard base-pairing at the 3rd anti-codon position.
Source: Rfam by way of RNAcentral
ACGAGGAAGGCCGAGUGGUUAAGGCGUUGGACUCAAGUGCCAAUGUACAAAUGUACGCUUGGGUUCCAACCCAAGUCCUGGUA